This 210-nucleotide long non-coding RNA is filed under the name Gossypium barbadense (sea-island cotton). Its description in RNAcentral is "long non-coding RNA (GBAR_LNC010760)". Lineage: Eukaryota; Viridiplantae; Streptophyta; Magnoliopsida; Malvales; Malvaceae. The record is from RNAcentral.
AACGGAUAAAAGAAUAACUAGUUAGAGAAAAAGAUUAGUACUAGAUGGUACAUUUAUGUAUAGAAUCUAUUUGAAUAUUGCGUUGAGAAAGAUCAAUGAGAUGAUAAUGAAUCAUGUUUUGAGACAUGAUAGGAAGGUUUGUGUCAAUGAGAUGUUGUUUUGGUAAUGUUAUGAUAUUGAAUUAUAUUUAAUUAAUGAAUUGAAUUGCUU